This 979-nucleotide non-coding RNA is filed under the name Gobiopterus brachypterus. RNAcentral describes it as "12S ribosomal RNA". It matches the Rfam family "Bacterial small subunit ribosomal RNA". The record is from RNAcentral. Lineage: Eukaryota; Metazoa; Chordata; Actinopteri; Gobiiformes; Gobiidae.
CAAAAGCUUGGUCCUGACUUUAGUAUCAGCUCUGGUUAAACUUAUACAUGCAAGUAUCUGCACCCCAUGUGAGAAUGCCCUACCAUACUUUUCACCUCCAUAAGUUUAAGGAGCUGGCAUCAGGCACGACCCACUAGUCAGCCAAAAACACCUUGUAAUAGCCACACCCCCACGGGUCCUCAGCAGUAAUUAAUCUUAAGCAAUAAGUGAAAACUUGACUUAGUUAUACACCAAGGAGAGCCGGUAAAACUCGUGCCAGCCACCGCGGUUAUACGAGGGGCUCAAGUUGAUAUAUUAACGGCGUAGAAAGUGGUUACUACAUCGAAUUAAACUAAAGCUAAACACCCUCUAUGUUGUUAUACCCACCUGAUGGUAGGAAACAUUUUCCACGAAAGUGGCUUUAGAAUAUUAUUCACUCCACUAAAGCUAGGAAACAAACCGGGAUUAGAUACCCCGCUCUGCCCAGCCCUAAACACAAGUGUUUAUUUACACCCACCUCCACUUGCCAGGGAACUACGAGCCCCAGCUUAAAACCCAAAGGACUUGGCGGUGCUUUAGACCCACCUAGAGGAGCCUGUUCUAGAACCGAUAACCCCCGUUUAACCUCACCCUUCCUUGCAUCCCCUCCGCCUAUAUACCGCCGUCGUCAGCUUACCCCUUGAGGGAUCCACAAUAAGCAUAAUUGCUCAGCCCCCAAAACGACAGGUCGAGGUGUAGCGCAUGAAAGGGAAAGAAAUGGGCUACAUUCAAUGGAUACAAUGAAUAACGGAUAAUGUUUUGAAAUAUACAUUUUAAGGAGGAUUUAGCAGUAAAGAGAAAAAGCAGAGUGUUCUCUUGAAACUGGCCCUGAAGCGCGCACACACCGCCCGUCACUCUCCCCAAACACCCUUAUUAAACUAUAAAUAAAACAAAGUUUUUCUAAAAGAAGGGGAGGCAAGUCGUAACAUGGUAAGUGUACCGGAAGGUGCACUUGGAAAAA